UUUCUUAGAGGUUAUACAAAUAACUACUAAAGUUUGAAAAAAUAAAGAGAGGUCAACUCAAUCUUUAUCAAAUUAAAUUAAAGUUUAUUUUAAAACACAAACGACUAGUUCAUUAAAAUGAUAACUUGUUUAGUACACAAACAAUAUCUUACUUAAUACAUAGAAAUAAGAUCUUACGGAACAUAGAGAUUAAAAACAUAGGAACAACAUGAAAAGUUUUUAAAAUGACAUAGAUAUUGAUUAACAAAGAUAUGAACUAGUUUCGGGUAUUUUUAACCAUCCAUCAAGGUAAACUUGUUUGGAGUCAGGGUGGGAUUUUGGUCUAAUAUCUUUCAACCAUCCAUCAAGGUAAACUUGUUUGGAAUCAGAGGAGGAUUUUGCUUUUUCGCUCGAGUGUCUUUCAACCAACAUCAAGAUAAACUUGUUUGGAGAUCAGAGGUGGAUUUUUUUGUUUUUCUCUGCUCGAGUAUCUUUCAACCACCCAUCAAGGUAUACUUGGUUGGAGUCAGGGGUAGAUUUUGUUCUCGUCGUUUCGAAUAUCUUUCAACCAUCCAUCAAGGUAAACUUGGUUGGAAUCAGAGGAGGAUUCUUUCUUUUUCAGCUCGAGUGUCUUUCAACCAACCAUCAAGAUAAACUUGUUUGGGAUCAGAGGUGGAUUUUGUUUUCUCUACUCGGGUAUCUUUCAACCACCCAUCAAGGUAUACUUGGUUGGAGUCAGGGGUAGAUUUUGUUCUCUCGUUUCGAAUAUCUUUCAACCAUCCAUCAAGGUAAACUUGGUUGGAGUCAGACAUGGUUUUUGUUUGCUUUGCUCGAGUAUUUUUCAACCAUCCAUCAAGGUAAACUUGGUUGGAGUCAGAUGUAGAUUUUUCUUUCUCAGCUCGGGGAUCUUUUAACCAUCCAUCAAGAUAAACUUGUUUGGAGUCAGAGGUGGAUUUUGUUUUCUCUGCUCGGGUAUCUUUCAACCAUCCAUCAAGGUAAACUUGAUUGGAGUUAGGCAUGGACUUUUCUUUCUCGACUCUGAUAUUUUUCAACCAUCCAUCAAGAUAAACUUGGUUUGAGUCACUUGCAGGUUUUGUUUUCUCAACUCGGGUAUUUUUCAACCAUCCAUCAAGGUAAACUUGGUUGGAUUCAGAGGUGGAUUUUGCGUUCUCUGCUCUGGUAUCUUUCAACCAUCCAUCAAGGUAAACUUGGUUGGAGUUAGGUGUUGACUUUUCUUUCUCAGCUCUGAUAUCUUUCAACCAUCCAUCAAGAUAAACUUGGUUGGUGUCACCGGUAGAUUUUGCUUUCUCAGCUCGAUUAUCUUUCAACCAUCCAUCAAGGUAAACUUGGUUGGACUCAGAGGUGUCUUUUGCUUUCUUUGCUCUGGAAUCUUUCAACCAUCCAUCAAGAUAAACUUGAUCAGAUUUCUGGGAGGAUUUGGUUUUCUCUGCUCGUGUAUCUUUCAACCAUCCAUCAAGAUAAACUUGGUUAGAGUUAGCAAUGUGUUUUUGACUCUUCAAUGGAUUUUUGAGCCAACCAUCAAGGUAAGGUUGAUCAGCUUGUAUUUCUUGUACAUUCUCUUGCUGAAGUUUGAUAUAUCGGGCAAAGCUUCCUUGUCCAUUCUACAAUACAAUUGAAUAAAUGGAUAUUAGUGAGUUAUUUUUGGAUGGUAUAUAUGAUUACAAAAACAAAAUAAUGUGUUUUAUAAGACACAUUAUGU
This 1699-nucleotide long non-coding RNA is filed under the name Lathyrus oleraceus (garden pea). RNAcentral describes it as "Pisum sativum (pea) long non-coding RNA (PSAT_LNC021950)". The record is from RNAcentral. Lineage: Eukaryota; Viridiplantae; Streptophyta; Magnoliopsida; Fabales; Fabaceae.